Non-coding RNA from Tinamus guttatus (white-throated tinamou), 89 nucleotides. The record is from RefSeq and is a predicted model, not a curated record. Lineage: Eukaryota; Metazoa; Chordata; Aves; Tinamiformes; Tinamidae.
UAGAAAUUGCUAACUCAAGAAAGUAAUCCCUACAACGCAUACAUGGGCUUUCCUACACCAUGGGCUUUUCUAAAUAAUUGCAAAACUGU